This 166-nucleotide long non-coding RNA is filed under the name Dermacentor andersoni. RNAcentral's name for it is "uncharacterized LOC126530285". Lineage: Eukaryota; Metazoa; Arthropoda; Arachnida; Ixodida; Ixodidae. The record is from RNAcentral.
AUUACUCAAAAGAUUCCGGAGAAGAUGAGGAACACGACUACAGAACGGACUACCUGAAGUUCACAGUGUUCCUUAUCAUGGCAUGUUUCUUCAAGGCGUUCCAGAAGCAGCUGCGCGUGCCCUACAUGAGCUGGGUGUUCCUGCUGACCACGGUCCUGCUGUGCCU